GCCAGAGAGUGGUGGAGCCACGUAGAAUCCGUUACAGAGUGUGGGGUAGGGUAGCAGCCAUUAUCGCGACUUGCCAGAGAGUUUGGAUCUGUCGGCUGAAGCUCGGCUGGGAUGUUUGAUGGAGUGGAAUGGCUCUCUAUCUCAUCGAUCUAGGAGAAGCUCGGAUAUUUUUGAGGUUGUGACAGGUCUACUAUUGUUGGGUGCCUAGAGCA
Molecule: long non-coding RNA, 212 nt
Filed under: Elaeis guineensis (African oil palm)
Lineage: Eukaryota; Viridiplantae; Streptophyta; Magnoliopsida; Arecales; Arecaceae
Description: long non-coding RNA (EGUI_LNC037500)
Source: RNAcentral